Molecule: ribosomal RNA, 465 nt
Filed under: Vreelandella stevensii
Lineage: Bacteria; Pseudomonadati; Pseudomonadota; Gammaproteobacteria; Oceanospirillales; Halomonadaceae
Description: partial 16S ribosomal RNA
Rfam family: Bacterial small subunit ribosomal RNA
Source: RNAcentral
CCUACGGGUGGCUGCAGUGGGGAAUAUUGGACAAUGGGCGAAAGCCUGAUCCAGCCAUGCCGCGUGUGUGAAGAAGGCCUUCGGGUUGUAAAGCACUUUCAGUGGGGAAGAAAGCCUUGGGGCUAAUACCCUCGAGGAAGGACAUCACCCACAGAAGAAGCACCGGCUAACUCCGUGCCAGCAGCCGCGGUAAUACGGAGGGUGCGAGCGUUAAUCGGAAUUACUGGGCGUAAAGCGCGCGUAGGCGGUCUGAUAAGCCGGUUGUGAAAGCCCCGGGCUCAACCUGGGAACGGCAUCCGGAACUGUCAGGCUAGAGUGCAGGAGAGGAAGGUAGAAUUCCCGGUGUAGCGGUGAAAUGCGUAGAGAUCGGGAGGAAUACCAGUGGCGAAGGCGGCCUUCUGGACUGACACUGACGCAGGGGUGCGAAAGCGUGGGUAGCAAACAGGAUUAGAUACCCCAGUAGUC